Long non-coding RNA from Bos indicus x Bos taurus (hybrid cattle), 1459 nucleotides. The record is from Ensembl. NCBI's taxonomy places the organism in Eukaryota, Metazoa, Chordata, Mammalia, Artiodactyla, Bovidae.
AUGACCUCAGGAAUGAUGGGAACUGGGGAAUCUAGUGCCAAUCAGAUCCUUUCUGCAAACCAGCCUUUUUUUUUUUUUUUUUGCCUAGUACAGACAUACUCUCUGCAUGCUUCAACAGACAUGACUGCUGGCAGCUUCCAGAGUCACAUCUUUACUGAAUCACAACCAGAGAAAAGGAAUGGCUUAUCUUCCAGCCAGCGCUGGUUUGAAAUUCCCAGCAAAGGGCUAAGCAGCCUUUCAUUGUGUCCUUCCCUCAUGGCUCAGAAGCCAGUGCUCUCCUCCUGGAAGAACAGCAUUUUCUUGGGUGAAGGCGAGGAAAGAGCUCAUUCAUUCUAGAAGACAGGAACUUGUGUGGUACCAGAGAGGACAGAGAAAGAGCCCAGCUGCCUACAAGGUGGGUGUGUUUGGGAACAAGGAGAGAUAACAUUGGGACAGCAGAAGAUGGGCCCUUCUGCCCCCUGGUCACAGCCCACUUUAGGACAGGUGGCUGGGAAGUCCCUAUUGAUGGAGGGGCUUUGGGCUACAGGGGGAUGAAUGCUCUAAGAUUGAUAUUAUAACUGAAUUGCAAGCUUCCUAUGAGUAGAGUUCUCAUCUGCAUCACCUUCAUUGGAUGUCAGAGAAACAGACCAAGAGAGGGAUGGUAUUUUUUUUUUACUUGAAGAAAGCAAGGGAACCUAGGCUUAUUGAAGCAAGAGCGGCUUAAAUUAGAUAGCAAUACUGAUUUCCUCACUAUGAGAAAAGUACAAGAUUAUCCUAGCUCACCAAGGAGUCUCUUUCCUGAGUGACUUGGAAUCUCCCGGCUGGCGGAGACUCAGAGGAGUUUGUUCAUUCAUUAGUGAUUCUCAAGCUCUUCUACAUCACUGGACAAGCCUACCAAAUCACUGUGAGGUUCAUUGUGUUUGAAAGUUUCAUGGUAAGCUCCUGGUUUCCUCACUCUGAUCUACUCCACUCCCAGCAGAAAACUUUUCAGAGGCUAAUUCAGAGUUGUAGACAGCAGGUUGCUAGCUCUGGCUGCUGGGUUCCAGGUGAUGUCCCAAAGCCAAUGGGGAUGCUGGGCUCUGAGCCCAGACACUAGCUGUUUGUUCCUAGAAAAUAAGGGGCUGAGACUGACCAGAAGUCACCGAGUUUGAACUGUAGACUCCCUUGUCUACCUUUCUAAAGGUUGAGGAGUUCAACCCAAGUGAUACAAUAUUGCAUUUACAUACAAUUCUGGUAGCACUUUAAGACUUAAGAAUUUUCAGAGCAUAAGGCCAACUGUAAGGAAACAAGUCUCCAAUGCAGCUAAACUUCAAGGAAUAACCAGGUGUUAAUGGUUAGGGACAUAGUGGGAUUCAGUUCACUGACCUCUUACUAGGUGCUGCAUCUUGGGUUGGGUACUGGGUGGAGGUAGGAAGAGACCCAACAUAAGAUUGGUGAUGACAGUGAUAAUAAACAUGUGCAAAGAGUUGACCGUACCCCA